UAUGGUCCAAUCAGUUUACUGCCAUGGGAUGGGACUGCGGCCUAUCAGCUUGUUGGUGAGGUAAUGGCGCACCAAGGCGAUUACAGGUACGGGCUCUGAGAGGAGAAGCCCGGAGAUGGGUACUGAGACACGGACCCAGGCCCUAUGGGGCGCAGCAGGCGAGAAACCUUAGCAAUGUGCGAAAGCACGACUGGGUCAGUCCGAGUGAUUCCUGAUAAAGGAGUCUUUUGCUUGUCCUAAAAGCACAGGUGAAUAAGGGGUGGGCAAGUCUGGUGUCAGCCGCCGCGGUAAUACCAGCACCUCGAGUGGUCAGGACGUUUAUUGGGCCUAAAGCAUCCGUAGCCGGCUUUGCAAGUCUUCGGUUAAAUCCACCUGCUCAACAGAUUGGCCGCUGGAGAUACUACAAAGCUAGGGAGUGGGAGAGGCAGACGGUAUUCGGGGGGUAGGGGUAAAAUCCUCUGAUCCUCUGAGGACCACCAGUGGCGAAGGCGGUCUGCCAGAACACGUUCGACAGUGAGGGAUGAAAGCUGGGGGAGCAAACCGGAUUAGAUACCCGGGUAGUCCCAGCUGUAAACGAUGCAAACUCGGUGAAGCAUUGGCUUAAUGCUAAUGCUGUGCCGCAGGGAAGCCGUUAAGUCUGCCGCCUGGGAAGUACGGUCGCAAGAUUGAAACUUAAAGGAAUUGGCGGGGGAGCACCACAAGGGGUGAAGCCUGCGGUUCAAUUGGAGUCAACGCCAGGAAUC
This 743-nucleotide ribosomal RNA is filed under the name Nitrososphaerota archaeon. RNAcentral describes it as "bacterial SSU rRNA". It matches the Rfam family "Archaeal small subunit ribosomal RNA", at positions 181 to 926 of the family's 1478-position model. Lineage: Archaea; Thermoproteati; Nitrososphaerota. The record is from RNAcentral.